RNAcentral lists this transfer RNA (65 nucleotides) under Dorcus parallelipipedus (lesser stag beetle). RNAcentral describes it as "tRNA-Ser". RNAcentral also lists the same sequence under 1 other name. Lineage: Eukaryota; Metazoa; Arthropoda; Insecta; Coleoptera; Lucanidae. The record is from RNAcentral.
AGUCAAUGAACUUGUAUAAGUGUGUAUUUUGAAAAUACAAAAAAGAGUAAAUUCUCUAUUGACUU